Molecule: long non-coding RNA, 236 nt
Filed under: Setaria viridis
Lineage: Eukaryota; Viridiplantae; Streptophyta; Magnoliopsida; Poales; Poaceae
Description: long non-coding RNA (SVIR_LNC007370)
Source: RNAcentral
GGUACUGGGUCUAUCGAAUAUUCCAACACCCUAUCAGAUAUUAUGGUACUGGGUCUAUCGGAUAUUCUGGCAUCUUGUCGGAUACUCCGGCAAAAGGUUUAUAUCUUGAUAAAAUCAACUGUUGGGUGUAGCUUAUCAACCCCCGAGCUUUGGAAUGAUUAAAUAAUCAAUUCAAGGGUCUAGCGAGCUUUAGUCUUCACGUCAGUCGUCGUCUGAGUAGUUUUGCGACGUCCAGC